AGACGAAUCGACACCAUCUGUUCGACUUUAUUUUAGAUGAUCUACUUUCAGUUUAACAAGGCGCACACGUUCGAGGGUCGUCCUUGACCGGAGUAGAUCCAGACGCCGGCUAAUCAAGUGCUGCGCCAUGUUGCCAUGUCUUGCAGGGGUGGAAAGGAGCCUGUUUACGGCCCUUCCUCAUUUAGCCUGACAGCCACACCAGGACCAGGGCCUGACCCAGUGUAAACACAGUGCAGCAGCUUCAAAGACCUCACACUGGUUGUGCUGGGACCGAUGCUGGUGCGACUAUGUCGCACAUUCGUGACACGCCGGCGAACUGAGGUCAUUGCUGUUUUUCGUUGAGUGGUUCGGGAAAGCAUUCGGUUUUGCCUCACUGUGCUCGGUAUUUGUCAAAUUAACAACAUUUGAUCUGUCAGGAUUUAGUAACUCUUGUAGACGGCGUGCGCUAAGUCGAAAAGAAUGUUUCCUUUUUUUGUGUGCACAUCUGUAACAAUAGAUUAUCUACAGGAGAACAAAAUACCUCCGAGUCUGGUUCUUGAACCCUAAUGGAUCACAGCUGUUUGAGACUCGACUGUGCGCUUUUGAGCCUGAUGUCGCAGCUAUUAAAACAUAGAGCUGGGAAAGUGGCUUAAGAUAUUUCAUUUCCCAUUGUGGAGAUUUCAAUUCCUUCAAAGUUUGGUUCGGUGCAUCCAGUCAUCUCAGAGUAAAUUAAUGUAGCAUGUCAAUAAUGAUUCACACAUAAAUCCAACUGCAAAUAUCAUUUCUAGAAUACAUUUUUUGAAGUUUAGUUGAGCCCAAAUAUGUUCAAUCUGGAAAUGUCAAAACAUGUUGGAAAAAGUUUCAAUGUGGGUCGGGAUCGUGUUCAAACAAAGGUGUUUAAAACCUGAUAUGUUGCAGCCUGGGUGGACCUCUGUGGGUGGUUCGACGGAUGAUAUUCACAUGAUUAAGAGAGCAUCGCUGGAGAGAUUUACGGAGCGUUAGCUUUUUUGGAACCAGGUCACACGGUCCAGGCAGCCCAGGGAGUUGCCAUGUUUUGUUUGAAAUUCACAAUAAAGAAAAAGACGAGAACUUACCGUUUCCCUACUGAGAGGCAAUGUGUGCGGCAAAGUAAUGACAACGUGUUCGAAUCGAAUCAUUGCAACGAUAAAAUCGGUUGCGCGCAGCAUGAUACUACCUGCCAACUCAGUCAAACGCACACUUUAUUUUGUCAAUUAUUUAAGCAAAUUUAUGGUGUUCCGUUGGUCAGGCUUCCUAGUUUUUUUUUUCCACUUAAACCGACAUUCUCAGUACUAUAUACUCAACUUGUCUUAAGUUUAUUUAUAGUAGACUUUACACUGAUUUGAUCAGC
Hippocampus comes (tiger tail seahorse) is the source of this 1348-nucleotide long non-coding RNA. RefSeq lists it as uncharacterized. The record is from RefSeq and is a predicted model, not a curated record. The transcript is spliced from 3 exons. Lineage: Eukaryota; Metazoa; Chordata; Actinopteri; Syngnathiformes; Syngnathidae.